This 1550-nucleotide ribosomal RNA is filed under the name Klebsiella pneumoniae. RNAcentral describes it as "bacterial SSU rRNA". It matches the Rfam family "Bacterial small subunit ribosomal RNA". The record is from RNAcentral. Lineage: Bacteria; Pseudomonadati; Pseudomonadota; Gammaproteobacteria; Enterobacterales; Enterobacteriaceae.
AAAUUGAAGAGUUUGAUCAUGGCUCAGAUUGAACGCUGGCGGCAGGCCUAACACAUGCAAGUCGAGCGGUAGCACAGAGAGCUUGCUCUCGGGUGACGAGCGGCGGACGGGUGAGUAAUGUCUGGGAAACUGCCUGAUGGAGGGGGAUAACUACUGGAAACGGUAGCUAAUACCGCAUAACGUCGCAAGACCAAAGUGGGGGACCUUCGGGCCUCAUGCCAUCAGAUGUGCCCAGAUGGGAUUAGCUAGUAGGUGGGGUAACGGCUCACCUAGGCGACGAUCCCUAGCUGGUCUGAGAGGAUGACCAGCCACACUGGAACUGAGACACGGUCCAGACUCCUACGGGAGGCAGCAGUGGGGAAUAUUGCACAAUGGGCGCAAGCCUGAUGCAGCCAUGCCGCGUGUGUGAAGAAGGCCUUCGGGUUGUAAAGCACUUUCAGCGGGGAGGAAGGCGUUAAGGUUAAUAACCUCAUCGAUUGACGUUACCCGCAGAAGAAGCACCGGCUAACUCCGUGCCAGCAGCCGCGGUAAUACGGAGGGUGCAAGCGUUAAUCGGAAUUACUGGGCGUAAAGCGCACGCAGGCGGUCUGUCAAGUCGGAUGUGAAAUCCCCGGGCUCAACCUGGGAACUGCAUUCGAAACUGGCAGGCUAGAGUCUUGUAGAGGGGGGUAGAAUUCCAGGUGUAGCGGUGAAAUGCGUAGAGAUCUGGAGGAAUACCGGUGGCGAAGGCGGCCCCCUGGACAAAGACUGACGCUCAGGUGCGAAAGCGUGGGGAGCAAACAGGAUUAGAUACCCUGGUAGUCCACGCCGUAAACGAUGUCGAUUUGGAGGUUGUGCCCUUGAGGCGUGGCUUCCGGAGCUAACGCGUUAAAUCGACCGCCUGGGGAGUACGGCCGCAAGGUUAAAACUCAAAUGAAUUGACGGGGGCCCGCACAAGCGGUGGAGCAUGUGGUUUAAUUCGAUGCAACGCGAAGAACCUUACCUGGUCUUGACAUCCACAGAACUUUCCAGAGAUGGAUUGGUGCCUUCGGGAACUGUGAGACAGGUGCUGCAUGGCUGUCGUCAGCUCGUGUUGUGAAAUGUUGGGUUAAGUCCCGCAACGAGCGCAACCCUUAUCCUUUGUUGCCAGCGGUUAGGCCGGGAACUCAAAGGAGACUGCCAGUGAUAAACUGGAGGAAGGUGGGGAUGACGUCAAGUCAUCAUGGCCCUUACGACCAGGGCUACACACGUGCUACAAUGGCAUAUACAAAGAGAAGCGACCUCGCGAGAGCAAGCGGACCUCAUAAAGUAUGUCGUAGUCCGGAUUGGAGUCUGCAACUCGACUCCAUGAAGUCGGAAUCGCUAGUAAUCGUAGAUCAGAAUGCUACGGUGAAUACGUUCCCGGGCCUUGUACACACCGCCCGUCACACCAUGGGAGUGGGUUGCAAAAGAAGUAGGUAGCUUAACCUUCGGGAGGGCGCUUACCACUUUGUGAUUCAUGACUGGGGUGAAGUCGUAACAAGGUAACCGUAGGGGAACCUGCGGUUGGAUCACCUCCUUACCUUAAAGAA